GCCGGACUGGCCGACGUCGCGGGGGCCGCGGUCACGGCGGGCCUGCCGGCCGUGCGGAUCGGCACGGACGGCGGGUUCAGCGCCCAUGUCCGGCC
RNAcentral lists this transfer RNA (95 nucleotides) under Streptomyces humidus. RNAcentral's name for it is "tRNA-Ala". Lineage: Bacteria; Bacillati; Actinomycetota; Actinomycetes; Kitasatosporales; Streptomycetaceae. The record is from RNAcentral.